RNAcentral lists this long non-coding RNA (288 nucleotides) under Rattus norvegicus (Norway rat). Its description in RNAcentral is "long non-coding RNA NONRATT004589". Lineage: Eukaryota; Metazoa; Chordata; Mammalia; Rodentia; Muridae. The record is from RNAcentral.
UCUAGAGAUAUUAGCACCUCCCGGGGGCCGGGGGACAGUGCAAGGGGCAAGGAUCGCCGGGGACCACAGGGACAGAGUGCGGGGCCCGACGAAGCCUCGCAGCCUUGCCAGUGGGAGACUCGGCCUGCGGGGGGCGGGGGGGCGUCGCGGGAAGAUCGGCGCCCGGACGAGCUGGGCGGCGCGCGGCGGGAGCGCAGCGGCCCCUGGCGCUUGGCCUCUCCGCGGUCACCGUGGCUGGGCCAGCCCCCGAGGCGGGGCGGAGGGCGGGACCUCGAGCGAGCGCGGCCG